GCAGCCGCGGUAAUACGUAGGGGGCAAGCGUUGUCCGGAAUGAUUGGGCGUAAAGGGCGCGUAGGCGGCCUGUUAAGUCUGGAGUGAAAGUCCUGCUUUUAAGGUGGGAACUGCUUUGGAUACUGAUGGGCUUGAGUGCAGGAGAGGUAAGCGGAAUUCCCGGUGUAGCGGUGAAAUGCGUAGAGAUCGGGAGGAACACCAGUGGCGAAGGCGGCUUACUGGACUGUAACUGACGCUGAGGCGCGAAAGUGUGGGGAGCAAACAGGAUUAGAUACCCC
Molecule: ribosomal RNA, 278 nt
Filed under: uncultured Christensenellaceae bacterium
Lineage: Bacteria; Bacillati; Bacillota; Clostridia; Christensenellales; Christensenellaceae
Description: partial 16S ribosomal RNA
Rfam family: Bacterial small subunit ribosomal RNA
Source: RNAcentral